CCUACGGGAUGCACCAGUGGGGAAUAUUGCACAAUGGGCGCAAGCCUGAUGCAGCCAUGCCGCGUGUAUGAAGAAGGCCUUAGGGUUGUAAAGUACUUUGAGUUGGGAGGAAGGCGUUGAUGCUAAUAUCAUCAACGAUAGACGUUACCAACAGAAGAAGCACCGGCUAACUCCGUGCCAGCAGCCGCAGUAAUACGGAGGGUGCAAGCGUUAAUCGGAAUUACUGGGCGUAAAGCGCACGCAGGCGGUUGAUUAAGUUAGAUGUGAAAUCCCCGGGCUUAACCUGGGAAUGUCAUCUAAGACUGGUCAGCUAGACUCUUGUAGAGGGGGGUAGAAUUCCAUGUGUAGCGGUGAAAUGCGUAGAGAUGUGGAGGAAUACCGGUGGCGAAGGCGGCCCCCUGGACAAAGACUGAAGCUCAGGUGCGAAAGCGUGGGGAGCAAACAGGAUUAGAUACCCGGGUAGUC
RNAcentral lists this ribosomal RNA (465 nucleotides) under uncultured bacterium. RNAcentral's name for it is "bacterial SSU rRNA". It matches the Rfam family "Bacterial small subunit ribosomal RNA", at positions 338 to 795 of the family's 1533-position model. The record is from RNAcentral.